CCUUUGCCGGUGAGUCGCGUGCCGUCCCACGAGUCGUGCUGCCUCCCAGAGUCCCGGUUCACCCCUCCCACGCGCCGCACCCAAUCCCCUCCUCCCGCACGCCUCGCACCUAAUCGCCUCCAUGAACCCUAGCCCCCAAUGGAUGGGACGCCACACCCUCACUCCUCCCCAGCAGCCUCCAAACCCCCCGCCUCCACUGGAUCCAAGGCGUGCGGCCACGGAGGCGAGCCUCUCCGGCGACGGCGGCAACCUGCAGGCAGAGAAGAUGGGAGAGAGGGAGAGAAGGAAUGAGAGGAGGGAGGUCCGACGGCGGACAGGAGAGGGUCAGCGGCCUGUGCCGGCGAGGUCAGGUGUGACCUGGCAGACCUGGCAAUUGAUGGCGGCCACUCCUGGAUCCUUCUUCCACUUCCCCACUGCCUACCACCAAGCACGGGUCAGGGAGCAUGGGAUUGACGACGGCGGUCGAAAGCCAGGAUGGUUGGCUGAGGAAGAGGGUGAGGACUUGAGGAUUGAAGAGGGUUGCUAUGGAGACUGUUCUUUGCAAGGGUAAAGCAUCAUCAGCACUGGUGGUGGUUGGAUCAUUAGAUGAUUCCCAGUAACUAGGUAUGUCUUCUUAACCAGGUGGACAUUUCCCCAGAUUGGCUCCUCCACAUGUUUCAGACUGACAAAUCAUGACAAUCCUCUUCUUAAAGUACAAAAUGAUGUAGCUAUCUCCACAUGCUUUGAUGAUAUCUUUUUCGUAUGGUUGGAUGGUUCCUUAUCACCGUGAUUCAUAUAAAACUUUGUGAAUUGUAGUGUCAUGAUGAUUUCAUAAGACACGAGGCUUUAAUGUACUUUUUGUUUGGAAAGCACAUAAAUGUGAAGAAUCAAUGGUGAAAAUAAGUAAAACACUCUCUAUAUGUUUCCAUUGACAUGAUCAGUGGCUCCAUUUUCUUUGGUAGUAAUGCUAGGCUACAGGUUAAUAUAUUUUACCAUGCCCAGCUGUUUUUUCUCAGUUUCUCCUCUAAAACAUAGACAUCAUUUUCAUUCGGAUUUCAUCCUUAUUAGUUUUAUUUUAUAUGCAUUGAAUAUAACUAUGCAAGUAUAGGUACAAGCAUUGCCAUGACAUACAUCCCAUUUUGAGUUUUAUUCAGUCCUCUGUCAUUGUUAUUGCGAUCUUAUUUUGCCUUUGUAAAAAUGGGGUAUAUGUCAUGGUUGUUUAACAGAAGGGAGGUGCAUAAGAACAGAUUUGGUGUUCAUCCGCAAUGUGAGUGCUUUCUGCAACUCCAUUUUGUCGAUAUUUUCUGUGAGACAUGAACACCAAAUCUAUUUAUCUAACAUGUUUUGCAUGUUUUGUCGAGUGCUUUCCUGUGUUUUUAUCUAUGGUCUUUUUUAUCAUAUCUAAUAUCCAGCAUUAUACCAUGUCUCACAGAAUUGCUGAUUCUGCACAUACACCUACUUAUUUUACUUCUGUUUAUUUUAAUGUCGUUUAGAAACAUUCUACAUCUCAAUUAUGACUGAUUGUAUUUAUUUCUGAACCUCGGCACUUACAAAAUGCAAGGAUGAUGAGAAAUGAUUGUGCUACUUCUAUCAUCUUCAGCUCUUUGUGCAUCUCAGGGUCGAAGUGUUAGUGGAGAUCGAAGUUCCAAGGAGGCCGCUCGUGAGACGGCUGGGCUUCCUUCAAUACCGGUGAUAACCAGGAGCUGACAUGCGGUACAAUUUUUCUCUGGGUUGCAGGAUAGGCGAGGCGAUGAUCCAAAAAAUUGGAAAGAAUGGUGCUCCCAUGUUCUCUCUUAUCCAGGAAAAUCAAUACAGCAAAAUGUGUGUUUAAUAAACCUUGCAUUGCUGCAAAAAUUAAUAUUAUGUUUGUGAAUCUAAUGCCAUGGUGGAUAUCAUGAAGAAGAGGGACAUGUUUGUUGCAUUUGAAGGUGUACUUAUGAGUGCAAGGGAGCCUCGAGGAUUUGGGUUUGUCCAGUACUUCAAUCCUGAUGAUGCUGCAGAUAGAAAAUACUACAUGGACGGACAGGUUAUUUGUGGCAAACAAGUAACAGUUUUAUUUGCAUAACAGAACAAAAAGAAGCCUGCUAAGGGGUGUCCCGCGGCAGAUGCGCGCCCAAUGACGCUGUGGAGCUGUCAACUCCCACCCAGAUCGCCACAGAGAACAGUGAAGCAUCCUCCCUUCUCCCUUCCGGUUGCAUCUCCGCUGGUGACUUCUUGCAGGCUUGUCUUAGUGACACAGGCAUGCUGAAGCAAAGGUCCUUUUCCUUCUUUGCAUCCCUCAUUCUCUGUUUUUUCUCACAAUGAAGCACCUUGCUGCUCCACGGCAUUCAACCCAUGAUGGUGUGACUACAGGUGGAUUACAACAUCUUUACCUGAUAAACAUGGAAUAUACAAGAGGAAGGAGCAACUGCAGCAAGCAGUGAUGCUUCAGGCGCUGAUGUGAGGAUUACUGCAUUUGAGAGCAGAGGAAGACAAGCGUAAAACUAUCAUGUUCGCUUCCGCCAUUCAUGCCGAGCGGGAUGCGUGGCAGAGGGGAUUUCUUUUCCGCGAAAACCGGAAGAGAGGAUAUUGAAGCCACCUUUGCCAACAUAGAUGAAGAUGGGAGGAUUGGCCAACUUUGGACUCCAACGGCAGCGAUGAUGAUGAAGACUUGAGCUAUGACUAUGAGUCCGAGUAGUAGAAGAAUCAUUUAUGUUUUUGUGCUUUGUCGACAGGGAUUAGAUUUGUUACAAAUAGAACUCUAUGCUACCAAAUUUUAAUGUGCAUAUACUUUUCAUUGUAGACAGCAAGCCCCUGUUUUUCCAGGAGAUUAAAUUUGUUGUCAUAUGUGCUUGCCUGUAACUAAGCAACUAAACCAUGGAUUACUUUUCAUCGCUAA
Triticum urartu is the source of this 2857-nucleotide long non-coding RNA. RefSeq lists it as uncharacterized. Lineage: Eukaryota; Viridiplantae; Streptophyta; Magnoliopsida; Poales; Poaceae. The record is from RefSeq and is a predicted model, not a curated record.